RNAcentral lists this ribosomal RNA (253 nucleotides) under uncultured bacterium. Its description in RNAcentral is "partial 16S ribosomal RNA". It matches the Rfam family "Bacterial small subunit ribosomal RNA", at positions 524 to 776 of the family's 1533-position model. The record is from RNAcentral.
UACGUAGGGUGCAAGCGUUAAUCGGAAUUACUGGGCGUAAAGCGUGCGCAGGCGGUUUUGCGAGACCGAUGUGAAAUCCCCGGGCUUAACCUGGGAAUGGCAUUGGUGACUGCACGGCUAGAGUGUGUCAGAGGGGGGUAGAAUUCCACGUGUAGCAGUGAAAUGCGUAGAGAUGUGGAGGAAUACCGAUGGCGAAGGCAGCCCCCUGGGAUAACACUGACGCUCAUGCACGAAAGCGUGGGGAGCAAACAGG